RNAcentral lists this ribosomal RNA (253 nucleotides) under uncultured bacterium. Its description in RNAcentral is "partial 16S ribosomal RNA". It matches the Rfam family "Bacterial small subunit ribosomal RNA", at positions 524 to 776 of the family's 1533-position model. The record is from RNAcentral.
UACAGAGGUCUCAAGCGUUGUUCGGAUUCAUUGGGCGUAAAGGGUGUGUAGGUGGCGCGCUAAGUCGGGUGUGAAGUUUCGGAGCUUAACUCCGAAACUGCAUUCGAUACUGGCGUGCUUGAGGACUGGAGAGGAGACUGGAAUUCAUGGUGUAGCAGUGAAAUGCGUAGAGAUCAUGAGGAAGACCAGUGGCGAAGGCGGGUCUCUGGACAGUUCCUGACACUGAGGCACGAAGGCCAGGGGAGCAAACGGG